Molecule: ribosomal RNA, 2753 nt
Filed under: Escherichia coli
Lineage: Bacteria; Pseudomonadati; Pseudomonadota; Gammaproteobacteria; Enterobacterales; Enterobacteriaceae
Description: 23S ribosomal RNA
Rfam family: Bacterial large subunit ribosomal RNA
Source: RNAcentral
UUAAGCGACUAAGCGUACACGGUGGAUGCCCUGGCAGUCAGAGGCGAUGAAGGACGUGCUAAUCUGCGAUAAGCGUCGGUGAGGUGAUAUGAACCGUUAUAACCGGCGAUUUCCGAAUGGGGAAACCCAGUGUGUUUCGACACACUAUCAUUAACUGAAUCCAUAGGUUAAUGAGGCGAACCGGGGGAACUGAAACAUCUAAGUACCCCGAGGAAAAGAAAUCAACCGAGAUUCCCCCAGUAGCGGCGAGCGAACGGGGAGGAGCCCAGAGCCUGAAUCAGUGUGUGUGUUAGUGGAAGCGUCUGGAAAGGCGCGCGAUACAGGGUGACAGCCCCGUACACAAAAAUGCACAUAUUGUGAGCUCGAUGAGUAGGGCGGGACACGUGGUAUCCUGUCUGAAUAUGGGGGGACCAUCCUCCAAGGCUAAAUACUCCUGACUGACCGAUAGUGAACCAGUACCGUGAGGGAAAGGCGAAAAGAACCCCGGCGAGGGGAGUGAAAAAGAACCUGAAACCGUGUACGUACAAGCAGUGGGAGCCUCUUUAUGGGGUGACUGCGUACCUUUUGUAUAAUGGGUCAGCGACUUAUAUUCUGUAGCAAGGUUAACCGAAUAGGGGAGCCGAAGGGAAACCGAGUCUUAACUGGGCGUUAAGUUGCAGGGUAUAGACCCGAAACCCGGUGAUCUAGCCAUGGGCAGGUUGAAGGUUGGGUAACACUAACUGGAGGACCGAACCGACUAAUGUUGAAAAAUUAGCGGAUGACUUGUGGCUGGGGGUGAAAGGCCAAUCAAACCGGGAGAUAGCUGGUUCUCCCCGAAAGCUAUUUAGGUAGCGCCUCGUGAAUUCAUCUCCGGGGGUAGAGCACUGUUUCGGCAAGGGGGUCAUCCCGACUUACCAACCCGAUGCAAACUGCGAAUACCGGAGAAUGUUAUCACGGGAGACACACGGCGGGUGCUAACGUCCGUCGUGAAGAGGGAAACAACCCAGACCGCCAGCUAAGGUCCCAAAGUCAUGGUUAAGUGGGAAACGAUGUGGGAAGGCCCAGACAGCCAGGAUGUUGGCUUAGAAGCAGCCAUCAUUUAAAGAAAGCGUAAUAGCUCACUGGUCGAGUCGGCCUGCGCGGAAGAUGUAACGGGGCUAAACCAUGCACCGAAGCUGCGGCAGCGACACUAUGUGUUGUUGGGUAGGGGAGCGUUCUGUAAGCCUGUGAAGGUGGCCUGUGAGGGUUGCUGGAGGUAUCAGAAGUGCGAAUGCUGACAUAAGUAACGAUAAAGCGGGUGAAAAGCCCGCUCGCCGGAAGACCAAGGGUUCCUGUCCAACGUUAAUCGGGGCAGGGUGAGUCGACCCCUAAGGCGAGGCCGAAAGGCGUAGUCGAUGGGAAACAGGUUAAUAUUCCUGUACUUGGUGUUACUGCGAAGGGGGGACGGAGAAGGCUAUGUUGGCCGGGCGACGGUUGUCCCGGUUUAAGCGUGUAGGCUGGUUUUCCAGGCAAAUCCGGAAAACCAAGGCUGAGGCGUGAUGACGAGGCACUACGGUGCUGAAGCGACAAAUGCCCUGCUUCCAGGAAAAGCCUCUAAGCAUCAGGUAACAUCAAAUCGUACCCCAAACCGACACAGGUGGUCAGGUAGAGAAUACCAAGGCGCUUGAGAGAACUCGGGUGAAGGAACUAGGCAAAAUGGUGCCGUAACUUCGGGAGAAGGCACGCUGAUAUGUAGGUGAAGCGACUUGCUCGUGGAGCUGAAAUCAGUCGAAGAUACCAGCUGGCUGCAACUGUUUAUUAAAAACACAGCACUGUGCAAACACGAAAGUGGACGUAUACGGUGUGACGCCUGCCCGGUGCCGGAAGGUUAAUUGAUGGGGUUAGCGGUAACGCGAAGCUCUUGAUCGAAGCCCCGGUAAACGGCGGCCGUAACUAUAACGGUCCUAAGGUAGCGAAAUUCCUUGUCGGGUAAGUUCCGACCUGCACGAAUGGCGUAAUGAUGGCCAGGCUGUCUCCACCCGAGACUCAGUGAAAUUGAACUCGCUGUGAAGAUGCAGUGUACCCGCGGCAAGACGGAAAGACCCCGUGAACCUUUACUAUAGCUUGACACUGAACAUUGAGCCUUGAUGUGUAGGAUAGGUGGGAGGCUUUGAAGUGUGGACGCCAGUCUGCAUGGAGCCGACCUUGAAAUACCACCCUUUAAUGUUUGAUGUUCUAACGUUGGCCCGUAAUCCGGGUUGCGGACAGUGUCUGGUGGGUAGUUUGACUGGGGCGGUCUCCUCCUAAAGAGUAACGGAGGAGCACGAAGGUUGGCUAAUCCUGGUCGGACAUCAGGAGGUUAGUGCAAUGGCAUAAGCCAGCUUGACUGCGAGCGUGACGGCGCGAGCAGGUGCGAAAGCAGGUCAUAGUGAUCCGGUGGUUCUGAAUGGAAGGGCCAUCGCUCAACGGAUAAAAGGUACUCCGGGGAUAACAGGCUGAUACCGCCCAAGAGUUCAUAUCGACGGCGGUGUUUGGCACCUCGAUGUCGGCUCAUCACAUCCUGGGGCUGAAGUAGGUCCCAAGGGUAUGGCUGUUCGCCAUUUAAAGUGGUACGCGAGCUGGGUUUAGAACGUCGUGAGACAGUUCGGUCCCUAUCUGCCGUGGGCGCUGGAGAACUGAGGGGGGCUGCUCCUAGUACGAGAGGACCGGAGUGGACGCAUCACUGGUGUUCGGGUUGUCAUGCCAAUGGCACUGCCCGGUAGCUAAAUGCGGAAGAGAUAAGUGCUGAAAGCAUC